RNAcentral lists this ribosomal RNA (411 nucleotides) under uncultured Alphaproteobacteria bacterium. Its description in RNAcentral is "bacterial SSU rRNA". It matches the Rfam family "Bacterial small subunit ribosomal RNA", at positions 60 to 505 of the family's 1533-position model. The record is from RNAcentral. Lineage: Bacteria; Pseudomonadati; Pseudomonadota; Alphaproteobacteria.
AGUCGAACGGAGGCCCUAGCUUGCUAGGUGUCCUUAGUGGCGCACGGGUGAGUAACACGUGGGAACAUACCUUAUAGUACGGAAUAACUGCGGGAAACUGUAGCUAAUACCGUAUACUCCAGUAAUGGGAAAGAUUUAUCGCUAUAAGAUUGGCCCGCGCAAGAUUAGCUUGUUGGUGAGGUAAAAGCUCACCAAGGCUUCGAUCUUUAGCUGGUUUGAGAGGACGAUCAGCCACACUGGGACUGAGACACGGCCCAGACUCCUACGGGAGGCAGCAGUAGGGAAUAUUGGACAAUGGGGGCAACCCUGAUCCAGCAAUGCAGCGUGAGUGACGAAGGCCUUAGGGUUGUAAAACUCUUUCAUCGGUGAGGAUAAUGACAGUAGCCGAAGAAGAAGGACCGGCUAAUUCCG